AUGAACACAAUUCUGGCUGAGCUGACUAGGGUUUGUGUACUUGUUUUUGUUGAUGACAUCUUAAUCUACAGCAAAUCCUUGCAAGAUCAUGUCACCCAUUUGCAGCAAGUAUUUGACCUUCUGAAGCAGAAUCAACUAUAUGUGAAGUUGAAUAAAUGUUCAUUUGCUCAACCACAGAUAGAAUACCUGGGUCAUGUCAUUAGUGGGCAAGGGGUGGCUACAGACUAA
RNAcentral lists this ribosomal RNA (228 nucleotides) under Triticum aestivum (bread wheat). RNAcentral describes it as "partial small subunit ribosomal RNA". Lineage: Eukaryota; Viridiplantae; Streptophyta; Magnoliopsida; Poales; Poaceae. The record is from RNAcentral.